GGGGGGAGCGGGCGAUUAUCGGGCAUCGCCAGUGCCAGUUAAGACGCCUUUAGUCUAGACACAAUCCUUAAAAAAAUAUUUUUGUUUGCACACGCACACCAACAUAUUUGCUCUUUGCCGCUCUCACGCACACAGUCCCAUUUCGUAACGCGACCAGCAACUGUCAAAAAUUUUCAUUUACACGUGUUGAGUGCAUCACCAGCUUCAACAACAAAAGCUCGCGAACGUUCCGGGACGCGUUCCGAAGUUCCCCCGGCCGCGUUUCCCCGGUUUCCUCGAACCAGAAGUCGUCCACCCAACGAUAAAAGUACCCGGGCCCGCGGUGUAAGAAUUCCGGCGCCGAAGACCCCCAGUGAUCCAAUCGAAAUUCCAGCGGUUAACGCCGCGAAAAACCAAUCAGUCAACCAGUUUGAUUUUCCGGGAACCCCGUGCCCGGAACCAUCGUAGAUGACGUGAUCACACUUCUUGAACGCAACGACUCCUACCUGAUUUCCAAGAACGUCCGCCAGGGAACCGUUUUGCCCACCUCAUACAACUGGACGCGGACAAGCUGCAACAGUUCUCGUUGCCCGUGUUGUCGGAAUGGAGCAAGAAUCGGAAACUGAAGGCUGGGGAGCUCAAUUCCGUCUCGCGGGAAGCGGGUUACGCCGGUGAAGAAGACGUCGCUGACGUUUGCCAUUUUCGGCACCAGUAUGAACCGGAUUGGGGUGCAGAAGAUUUGGGGGAGGACCGGAGAAGCAGCAGCUGAGGCGAUGCAAAACGUCAACCGCAACCCGCUGUAAAACGUCUCCCGACGACAAUGACCGCACCGAGGAACCCGCAAACGUGAAACCCCUCAUCAUUUCGUCCUCAAUACCGCGUCCGCCCAACAAAGUGAAUCUCCUCUUCGAGUGUGUCAUGCAGCAACGUCCCCUCAAUUCGACGUCCCAGACCGUACCAAGCUGCCCAACGUGCCCCUCGGGUUCUCCUCCCUGGGAGCGUCCUCGCCGUGGCGAGUUCGCGACGAGUUCAAAACGAAGCGUGUGGUUCCCGUUCCUUCCUAACUGGGCUCACGAAUAACCCAAAUCCGGUCAUCAACAGUCAAGUGAAACAAAAAAAAAA
Long non-coding RNA from Culex quinquefasciatus (southern house mosquito), 1101 nucleotides. RefSeq lists it as uncharacterized. The transcript has 3 exons. The record is from RefSeq and is a predicted model, not a curated record. Lineage: Eukaryota; Metazoa; Arthropoda; Insecta; Diptera; Culicidae.